Molecule: long non-coding RNA, 1110 nt
Filed under: Apteryx haastii (Great spotted kiwi)
Lineage: Eukaryota; Metazoa; Chordata; Aves; Apterygiformes; Apterygidae
Description: lncRNA (ENSAHAG00000001129.1)
Source: RNAcentral
AUGGAUGGCUAUGUGCUUUUUAGGAAAGACAGGCCAGGAAAGCGAGGUGGUGGAGUUGCUCUUUAUGUGAGAGAGCAACUGGAAUGGAUUGAGCUGUGCCUAGGGGUGGAUGAAGAGCGAGUCGAGAGCUUAUGGGUAAGGAUUAAAGGGCAGGCUAGCAUGGGUGACACUGUUGUGGGUGUUUACUACAGGCCACCUGAUCAGGAAGAGGAAGUCAAUGAGGCCUUCUACAGACAGCUGGAAGCAGCCUCACGAUCCCAGGCCCUGGUUCUCAUGGGGGACUCCAACCACCCCGAUAUCUGCUGGAAAGACAACACAGCUAGGCACAAACAGUCCUGGAGGUUCCUGCAGAGCAUUGGUGACAACUUCUUGACACAGGUGGUGGAGGAGCCAACAAGGAGAGGUGUGCUGCUGGACCUUGUACUAACAAACAAAGAAGGACUGGUGGAAGAUGUGAAGGUCGGGGGCAGCCUUGGCUACAGUGACCGUGAGAUGGUGGAGUUCAGGAUCCUGCGAGGAGGCAGCAGGGCACUAAGUAGGGUCGCAACCCUGGGCUUCAGGAGAGCAAACUUUGGCUUCUUCAGGGACCUACCUGGAGGAAUCCCAUGCGUCAGGGCCCUAGAAGGAAGGGGCAUUCAAGAGAGCUGGUUAAUAUUCAAACAUCACUUCCUCCAGGCUCAAGAGCAGUGCAUCCCUAUGAGUAGGAAGUCAGGCAAAGGAGGUAGGAGACCUGCGUGGAUGAGCAAGGAGCUCCUGGCAAAACUCAACCACAAGAAGGAAGUAUACAGAAAGUGGAAAGGGGGACAGGCCACUUGGGAGGAAUAUAGGAACGUUGUCAGAGYAUGCAGGGAUGCGACGAGGAAGGCUAAGGCCCGUUUGGAAUUAAAUCUGGCAAGAGAUGUCAAGGACAACAAGAAGGGCUUCUUCAAAUACAUCAGCAGCAAGAGGAAGACUAGGGAAAAUGUGGGCCCUUUGCUGAAUGGGGUGGGUGCCCUGGUGACGAAGGAUGCAGAGAAGGCAGAGUUACUGAAUGCCUUCUUUGCUUCAGUCUUUUCUGCUCAGGCCAGCCCUCAGGAACCCCAGACCCUGGAGGCAAGAGAGAAAGUCUGA